RNAcentral lists this ribosomal RNA (961 nucleotides) under uncultured alveolate. RNAcentral describes it as "SSU rRNA". It matches the Rfam family "Eukaryotic small subunit ribosomal RNA", at positions 623 to 1611 of the family's 1831-position model. The record is from RNAcentral.
AACGCUCGUAGUUGGAUAUUUGUUGAAAGAAUGUCGGUCCACCCAAGCGGUGCGUACUCGAUAUGUCUUCGACAUCUUACUGGGGACAGUAAUUCCACUUUAUUGCGGGGUUACACGAUCCAGAACUUUUACUUUGAGGAAAUGAGAGUGUUUCAAGCAGGCCAAGCCAUGAAUACGUUAGCAUGGAAUAAUAGCAUAGGACCUUGCGUCGUAGCUGUUGGUUGACGGCAUAAGGUAAUAAAAAUAGGGAUAGUUGGGGGCAUUCGUAUUGCAAUGUCAGAGGUGAAAUUCUUGGAUUUUUGCAAGACGGACUACUGCGAAAGCAUUUGCCAAGGAUGUUUUUAUUAAUCAAGAACGAAAGUUAGGGGAUCGAAGACGAUCAGAUACCGUCGUAGUCCUGACCAUAAACCAUGCCGACUAGAGAUUGGAGGAUGUCAUCAUUAGAUUCCUUCAGCAACUUGAGAGAAAUCAAAGUCUUUGGGUUCCGGGGGGAGUAUGGUCGCAAGGCUGAAACUUAAAGGAAUUGACGGAAGGGCACCACCAGGAGUGGAGCCUGCGGCUUAAUUUGACUCAACACGGGGAAACUUACCAGGUCCAGACAUAGGAAGGAUUGACAGAUUGAUAGCUCUUUCUUGAUUCUAUGGGUGGUAGUGCAUGGCCGUUCUUAGUUGGUGGAGUGAUUUGUCUGGUUAAUUCCGAUAACGAUCGAGACCUUAACCUGCUAAAUAGUUUCAUGAAGCUUAGGCUUUGUGGUAGCUUCUUAGAGGGACCUUUUGUGUGGAAUAAAAGGAAGUGUGAGGCAAUAACAGGUCUGUGAUGCCCUUAGAUGUUCUGGGCUGCACGCGCGCUACACUGAUGCGUCCAACGAGUACCCCACCUGGUCCGAAAGGAUUGGGUAAUCUUGUGAAAGCGCAUCGUGAUGGGGAUAGAUUAUUGCAAUUAUUAAUCUUGAACGAGGAAU